Molecule: long non-coding RNA, 643 nt
Organism: Rosa chinensis
Lineage: Eukaryota; Viridiplantae; Streptophyta; Magnoliopsida; Rosales; Rosaceae
Exons: 3
Source: RefSeq, a predicted model, not a curated record
CCCAUACUGUGUGUUUUGUGAAUAUUUGUGACCGUUGGAUCAGUAAUAUAUCCAAGGGUCAUGGAUAUUCGAAACAAGCUGACCUAUUCAGAAGGUAUCCCGUUUCGCCGUCACUCUCAGUUCGUCACCGUGCCUCCAGCGUCGGGCCUCCGCUUCGCUGUGCCACCACGACUCUCUCUCUUUGCGCGACUCUGCCUCAGUCUCCCUCUGUUCCACCGCGCCCCUCCACUCCACUGCUCCUCCAGUCCUCUUCAGCCUCCAGCCCACGGGUUCUCUCUCUACGGCAUGGACCCUUUCCAUCUCAGCCUCUCUCCUCGACGGCCCUUUCUAUACUCGACGGUGAUAGACUAACGGUGUCAAAUGGCCUUGAAGUCUCGAACUUGGUUGCUCUCUUCCUCAAGCAGCAAAGCAGAAAGCCAGAAACUGUUGGUUACACUCUGGAUUCGGUUUCUGGGUUUUCACUUACAUUCUUGGUUUCACUCUUCAAGCUUGGUUAGGUUCUGAAAUCAAGCUUGCUUGAGGCCGUCAUCUCAAAAAGUUUUAUCGCUAGUUGCUGAGUUGAAAACACUUAAGAAGAAUAAUGAAACACUGGAGAAGGAUAAAGAACAUCAAAGGAUCAAUCUUCUUUCUGUUGAAGAGGAGG